CAGCAGCCGCGGUAACACGUAGGGCGCAAGCGUUAUCCGGAAUUAUUGGGCAUAAAGAGCUCGUAGGCGGUUUGUCGCGUCUGCCGUGAAAGUCCGGGGCUCAACCCCGGAUCUGCGGUGGGUACGGGCAGACUAGAGUGAUGUAGGGGAGACUGGAAUUCCUGGUGUAGCGGUGAAAUGCGCAGAUAUCAGGAGGAACACCGAUGGCGAAGGCAGGUCUCUGGGCAUUAACUGACGCUGAGGAGCGAAAGCAUGGGGAGCGAACAGGAUUAGAUACCCCCGUAGUCCCUGUCUCUUUACA
RNAcentral lists this ribosomal RNA (301 nucleotides) under uncultured bacterium. Its description in RNAcentral is "partial 16S ribosomal RNA". It matches the Rfam family "Bacterial small subunit ribosomal RNA", at positions 509 to 808 of the family's 1533-position model. The record is from RNAcentral.